UAAAUAUGGCUAGUAUAAGCCUCUGGGGUU
Molecule: non-coding RNA, 30 nt
Filed under: Rattus norvegicus (Norway rat)
Lineage: Eukaryota; Metazoa; Chordata; Mammalia; Rodentia; Muridae
Source: RNAcentral